UUUCUGUUUGAGUCAAAGACAUUAGCAUUUUUUAGAGCCAGCCAGCCGGAAGUGGGCUCUCCAACCUUCCCUCCACAGCUUCUCUGUGCAUCUCACCGUGGCACCUUCACUUUCUGCCCCUACCAUGUGAUUUUGUAGAUGUGGUGUCCACAGGCUGAGCUUUGGCCUCACCCAGACCUGGGAUUGGGUCCCAGCCACACCAUUUCUAGCCGUGUGAUCUUGGCCUCACGACUUAGCCUCUCUCAGCUUCCCUUUCCUCAUCUAUAAUACUAAUUUGGGGGAAAAUAAUAGCUCUGUACUUUUAUUGGUGGGGCUGUUAGGGAGAUUAGUGAGAUGAUACAUACCAUAGUCCCUUGCAUAAGUUUCAAAUAAUGUUACCUGCCACAGUCCCUUGCAAAAGUGCUAAAGGCAAGUCCCUUGCAAAAGUGCUAAAUAAAUGUUAACUUCCUUUUUUUAAGUUUUUUUUUUUUUUGAGACCAAGUCUCUCUGUCACCCAAGCUGGAGUGCAGUGGCAUGAUAUCGGCUCACUGCAAUCUUCACCUUCCUGGUUUGAAUGAUCUUCCUGCCUCAGCCUCCUGAGUAGCUGGGAUUACAGGCACCUGCCACCACACCCAGCUAAUUUUUGUAUUUUUAGUAGAGACAGGGUUUCACCAUGUUGGCCAGGCUGGUCUCAAAUGUCUGACCUCAGGUGAUCGGCCUGCCUCAGCCUCCCAAAGUGCUGGAAUUACAGGGGUGAGCCACUGUGCCCAGCCAUAAAUGUUAACUUCUAUAAUAUUAUUUUUGUUAUUGUUACUUAUCUCCUUACUUAUGUAUUUUUCAUUAUUCAAGGGCAAGGACCAUUUUUCCCCUUCUCCUCUUACCCUCCUCCUUGUUCUAAAUAGGACUUAUGGCAAAUUUCAGCAAGUUGAUGAGAAAAAUAGAGGGAAAAUGAAGAUAUAAACAUAAAAUGGAGCCAGCAGAGACUAAUACAGAAAGUACAUCCUUACUUUAGUGGGUCACAGGAUUGGCUCUAAGCUUCCUAGCACCCAAUGAGAUGAAAGAAACUGAAUUAGUUACAUAAUGUAACACUGUUGUCCAUGAAAUAAAACAAGCGAAUAGCUCAGGAGAAACACACCUGGGCGACAUUCUUUUUUUCCUUCUCACUUCCUUCUUGACCUUGUGAUUCAUUUUGCUGAAGGGAAGACCAUUUGUUGGAAAGUGUUUCUGAAUGCGAUGGGAGUCCUGGCCCUUGGUAGAGGCCCACCCCUCGCUGUCUUCAGCUGAUCUGUUAGUAAUAGAGAAGAUCUAGUUCCUGGCCCAGAGAACUGAUCCUGCAAUAGGGCUGUGUUUUUGAAACCAAAAGCGUCAUACAGAUAACAAAGGAGAUGUGUCUCACUGUGGUUAGGCUAUUUUGUAGCAACACUUGUUUCCACUCUUUUGCAAUUUCAGGUUCUGUCAGACUUGAUCUAAACAUGAAUGUGCAAGUCCAGUGCUCAGGCUGAUAUAACCACUGUCUGGGCCCUGAGUUGAUUUGAAUUUCCACUUCCAAUCUGUGGUGCAACGUAUGUAACACAGCAAAUCAGUAAGGCUUUAUCAAGCACUUUCUUUGUGCAAGGCCCCUGUCCCAGGCCCUGCCUGGGAACCUUGCUUCCAGCUUGAGGGGAUGGAGACUCAAGAAGUUAAAGAAAAUUUACCCAAGGUCACAGAGCUAGAAAGUGGCAGGAGUCCGGCUUCAAAAUUCAGAUGACUACACACCCCAGUUCCCUCUCAGCCAGGCCACCUUCCUUAGAGAACAACCAAACCCACACCAAAAGGUGAACACAAGCUGAAUCACCAGGACUCAUCAGCAGCGAGGCUUCCUUGGUCCUUUCCCUAGAAAUUCAGGCUCCUGUACUGAAAAAAAUGAAGCAGCUGGAAGCAGUCUUGAGCCCAUAAAUCUGUACCCACUGCAGGGGUCCCGAACUUUUUGUGGGGGGCACACCCCUUUGAAAAUCUAAUAAAAUGAUCAACCCUCUCUUGGGGAAAAAAAGCAGACAUCCAAAUUUUGGCUGACAAUUUCAGGGAAAUGAAUGGACUUCCCCAAGCUCAUUCAGGAAGCUCUGGGGGUCACUGGCCUAUGUUAAGCACUGCUGGUCUGUCCAGAAGCCUCUAUGACUGCACCGUUCAGUGCUGCAGCCUCUCAUCACAUGAGGCCCUGAGCUUGUGCAGGGUGGCAAGUGUGAACUGAAAGGUGCUAUAGACAUGGAGUGCACACUGGAUUUUGAAGACUUAAUAGGAAAGAAGAACGUAAAAUAUCUCAUGACUAAUUUUUAUACUAAUUAUAUAUUAAAAGAUAAGUUGGGACUGGGCGCAGUGGCUCAUGCUGGUAAUCUCAGCACUUUGGGAGGCGGAGUGGGCGGAUCACGAGGUCAAGAGCUCAACACCAGCCUGACCAACAUGGUGAAACCCCGUCUCUACUAAAAAUACAAAAAGUAGCCGUGCAUGGUGGCACGUGCCUGUAAUCCCAGCUACUCAGGAGGCUGAGGCAGGAGAAUCGCUUGAACCUGGGAGGUGGAGGAUGCAGUGAGCCGAGAUCGCACCACUGCUCUCCAGCCUGGGUGACAGAGCGAGACUUGGUCUCGAAAAAAAAAGAGAAAAAGAUAAGUUGGAUAUUUGGGGUCAAAUAAAAUAUGUUAUUAAAAUUAAUUUCACCUGUUUCUCUUUACUUUUUAAAAGUGUGGCUAGAACAUUUGAAAUGCAGUAUGUGACCGGCAUUAUGUAUGGACUGGUCCCCGCUGCUCUGUGAUGACACCCUGGAGGCAUGGCCUCAUGGCCGGACCUCUAAAGUCAGUGUAGGCCCUUCACGGAAAGCCCAGCACUUCCUCUUUCUGGAAGUUGUAGUUAAGAGAAUGGGCAGGGAAAUCUUC
Molecule: long non-coding RNA, 2885 nt
Filed under: Homo sapiens (human)
Lineage: Eukaryota; Metazoa; Chordata; Mammalia; Primates; Hominidae
Description: HSALNT0163894
Source: RNAcentral